UGCAAUGAUUUAUAAAAAAUUACAAAUUAUUCAAAAUCGACAAAAAACAGUGGUUUCUCCAAUGAUUUCUAAAAGCUAAAGGAAGUACUGGACUUUGGUAAAUACGGGCAAUAAAUAUUAUUAAAUAAAGAGCAAUAUUUAAACGAGUUACGUCGGUUCUGAAAAGACAACAGGAGGCUUUAGAAUAAUUUUGAACACUAAACAGCUACAAUCCAAAUGGAGACGAAAUAAAACGAUGUUAAGUUCAAAUUUUCAGUGAAGUUCUUUUUUGACUUCAAAUAUGUUGACGAUAAUGUUGACGACGCUGGCAGUAACGGUAAGGAUGACUAUCAGAAAUUAAUACGAAGGUGUUGUCAAUAGGCAAGUUCUCCAAAAUUCUAUACACGAUAUUGACAAACUUCCACGAUGACGGGACCUCCGUUGAAAACCACAAUACAUUGCUGAACCUUAC
Long non-coding RNA from Teleopsis dalmanni, 451 nucleotides. RefSeq lists it as uncharacterized. The record is from RefSeq and is a predicted model, not a curated record. NCBI's taxonomy places the organism in Eukaryota, Metazoa, Arthropoda, Insecta, Diptera, Diopsidae. The transcript has 2 exons.